AUAGAAUUCAAAUCUGGACUCACUCCUGGCUAACCAAGUUCAAGGGGACAUCUGCCUUCAUGUUGUUAUGCAAAAGGAUUCAUGUGACCCCUGAAACCAUAUAGGACAUUGCCAUUCACCUCCAUUUCCUCUAAGAACUGGAAGACUCUGUUGAGGAAGACUCCACAGCCUUUAGAAAAGUGCAGUAACCAAGCCGCUACCAAUGCGGAAGCUUCCUCCUCAAGACUAGCUCUCAUAAGUGUUGAACAAUGGUUCUCAACCUGUGAAUUGUGAACACGUUGGAGUCCAUAUGAUUCUUUCAGACUGGUUGCCUAAGAUCAUCUGCAUGCCAGAACAUGCAGACCAGCUGAGACAGACAGCCUUGUAAGACUGAGCAACUCUAGAUUCCUGAACUUUCCAUUGACAACUAGACAUUGUUGGACCACAGUAUAUAAGCCCUCAUCCAGUGGCUGAUGGAAGCAGAGGCAGACAUCCACAGAUACACACUGAACUGAAAUCUGAAACCUAGUUGCAGAGAGGGAGGAAUGAAGAUCGACGGGGUUGGUACCAGGUUGGAGAAACCCACAGAAACAGCUGGCCUGAACAAGGGGGAGCACAUCGACCCCAGAUAUUGUCUGGGAGGCCAGUACAGGACUGAUCCAGACCCCUGAACAUGGGUGUCAAUGAGGAAGCCUCUGCACUCUAGGAGGCCGCUGGUAGUGGAUUAGUAUUUUUCCCUGGUGUAAGAAGGGACUUUGAGAGGGCUUCCCAAGUGAAGGGAUGCACUCUAGCCCGGACACAUGGGGAAGGGCCUAGGCCCAGCCCAGGAAGAUUUGGUGGACUUUGCGGGGCCCCAUUGUGGGCCCUACCUUGCCUGGGGAGUGGAGAGUGGAU
RNAcentral lists this long non-coding RNA (873 nucleotides) under Cricetulus griseus (Chinese hamster). RNAcentral's name for it is "lncRNA (ENSCGRG00015033200.1)". The record is from RNAcentral. Lineage: Eukaryota; Metazoa; Chordata; Mammalia; Rodentia; Cricetidae.